RNAcentral lists this long non-coding RNA (502 nucleotides) under Marmota monax (woodchuck). The record is from RNAcentral. Lineage: Eukaryota; Metazoa; Chordata; Mammalia; Rodentia; Sciuridae.
UGUAUGAGCUCUAGCCACAGUGCAGCCGACCAGGGCUGACACUCCUCAGUGAUGGAGCUGCCUGCCCUGGGGUGGGCAGUGGCUGCUAGAAGCUGAAGUUUGCACCCUGGGAAACAUUUCAGGAAACCUCUUGGGGUGAAUAUUCAGGGUUUUGCAUGAUUUGAUGCUGGAAGUUUUAUUAGUGAUAUUUUGCUACACUCCUGCUACACUCCCUUAGAAUUAACUGGUUCAGUCUUAAAUGCCUGCAUGGUGCCUUUUUAGGAUAAGGUAUAACCAUAUAUUUUUAGUGGAGGAGUUUCUAAGUUAGGAAAGUUGAACAGCAUUUUUCCAUAAGUGGGGAAGGGAGUCUGCCGCUGUCUGGCUGGGCACAAAUCACGAGCCACUGAAGCAGGAACAAACUUUAUUUUUGAACUGCAAGAAAAAACAUCACACAGGCUCCUGGGGAAUUCUCCCGAAUGCCACCCGGCUUGUCCAGGAACCCCCAGCCGGAAAUAUCUCUCCC